AAAUAAUUAGGAUUAAAAUUAUGUUUUGUUAAUUUUCAGAAAUUUAUUUUUGGUAAUUUUGUUAUAAUGAUUUUUUCAGAUUUUAGAAUGUUUUUAUAUGGAAUAAUUUUGAAAAUUUGGGAAUAUGGUUUUACAAGUUUUAAAGUAAAACUAGGAUUAGAUAUAUUUGUAUUAAUAAAUUUGUUAAAAUCUUGAUAUUUGAUUUGGAGGAGGAUUUGAAUUUCUUAAUUUUAUUAUAAAUAGGAU
This 246-nucleotide long non-coding RNA is filed under the name Ananas comosus (pineapple). RNAcentral describes it as "long non-coding RNA (ACOM_LNC007029)". Lineage: Eukaryota; Viridiplantae; Streptophyta; Magnoliopsida; Poales; Bromeliaceae. The record is from RNAcentral.